Molecule: long non-coding RNA, 524 nt
Organism: Hemicordylus capensis (graceful crag lizard)
Lineage: Eukaryota; Metazoa; Chordata; Lepidosauria; Squamata; Cordylidae
Exons: 3
Source: RefSeq, a predicted model, not a curated record
UGCUUAUUCUGAAGACACCUUCUCUUGGGGAGCAGGUAGGAUCUCUCUUGGAAGAUAACACCCAGACAAGACUGGAAAAGGUUGAAUGCUGUGAUAGUGAAGAACCACAAAGACAUUGCCAUGGAACCAAAGAAUCGCACAGUUACUUCCACAUACCCAAAUAAGCACCAGGUAGACUCUGUGCUGUUCCUACGGCCGGGAGGCAAACCAUUAAAAACUUGGGUAUGCAAGACAGGGCCUUUUUGGCCACUGCUCACAGGCUCUGGAAUUCACUCCCUUGAGAGGUAUGUCUGACCUCCUUGCUCUUGACCUUCUGAAGUGGUGGUGUUGAAAACCAUUUUUGUUUGUUCAUUCAGAAUGCGUCUAGGGUGAGUGUUUAAUUUUAUUGCUGCAUUCCAAAUUCCUUCUGUUGUAUUAUUAUUAUUUUCUGCUAAUUUGGGUGUAUUUCUAUGAGGACUUGUUGGCAUGGCUUCUUUUUAAUGCCUGUUUUCUUGUCAUCGUGAACAGCUUUAGUUAUUUCCCUC